GUCCAGUGAUUUAAUUCAGAUCCAGAAGAGUGCAAACGCUUUUUCUACCAUGUUGGAUACAAUGUUCUAUAUCUGGCAGCUAAUAAGUGACACAAAUAACAGAAGUUCAAUCAUAUACUACGUCCCAGCUUCUUUAACGCAGUCUGUGCUAUUAACAAGGCCAUAGGGACUAGAAGAUAUUUUUUGGGAAAUUUUCUGUUUUCUCUGUUAUGUUCUCCAGAGGAUGGAAAUGGAAGAAGAAAUGACAACGUCAC
Molecule: long non-coding RNA, 254 nt
Filed under: Calidris pugnax (ruff)
Lineage: Eukaryota; Metazoa; Chordata; Aves; Charadriiformes; Scolopacidae
Description: lncRNA (ENSCPUG00000016842.1)
Source: RNAcentral